GCGCACGCUGGCGGCAUGCCUAACACAUGCAAGUCGAACGAGACCUUCGGGUCUAGUGGCGCACGGGUGCGUAACGCGUGGGAACCUGCCCUUAGGUUCGGAAUAACUCCCCGAAAGGGGUGCUAAUACCGGAUAAUGUCUUCGGACCAAAGAUUUAUCGCCUUUGGAUGGGCCCGCGUUGGAUUAGCUAGUUGGUAGGGUAAAAGCCUACCAAGGCGACGAUCCAUAGCUGGUCUGAGAGGAUGAUCAGCCACACUGGGACUGAGACACGGCCCAGACUCCUACGGGAGGCAGCAGUGGGGAAUAUUGGACAAUGGGCGAAAGCCUGAUCCAGCAAUGCCGCGUGAGUGAUGAAGGCCUUAGGGUUGUAAAGCUCUUUUACCCGGGAUGAUAAUGACAGUACCGGGAGAAUAAGCUCCGGCUAACUCCGUG
Molecule: ribosomal RNA, 432 nt
Filed under: uncultured bacterium
Lineage: Bacteria
Description: partial 16S ribosomal RNA
Rfam family: Bacterial small subunit ribosomal RNA
Source: RNAcentral